AGUGAACGCUGGCGGCGUGCUAACACAUGCAAGUCGAACGAGAACGGAUUUAAGCUUGCUUAAAUUGUCAGCUAAGUGGCGCACGGGUGAGUAAUGUAUAGUUAACCUGCCUUUAAGAAAGGGAUAACAAUUAGAAAUGAUUGCUAAUACCUUAUAUGCCUUUUAAUCAUAAGAUUGUAAAGGGAAAUGCUUUUGUGCUUAAAGAUGGGACUGUAUAGUAUCAGAUAGUUGGUGGGGUAAUGGCCUACCAAGUCAAUGACGCUUAACUGGUUUGAGAGGAUGAUCAGUCACACUGGAACUGAGACACGGUCCAGACUCCUACGGGAGGCAGCAGUGGGGAAUAUUGCACAAUGGAGGGAACUCUGAUGCAGCAACGCCGCGUGGAGGAUGACACAUUUCGGUGCGUAAACUCCUUUUAUAUAGGAAGAUAAUGACGGUACUAUAUGAAUAAGCACCGGCUAACUCCGUGCCAGCAGCCGCGGUAAUACGGAGGGUGCAAGCGUUACUCGGAAUCACUGGGCGUAAAGAGCAUGUAGGCGGAUUAAUAAGUUUGAAGUGAAAUCCUAUAGCUUAACUAUAGAACUGCUUUGAAAACUGUUAAUCUAGAAUAUGGGAGAGGUAGAUGGAAUUUCUGGUGUAGGGGUAAAAUCCGUAGAGAUCAGAAGGAAUACCGAUUGCGAAGGCGAUCUACUGGAACAUUAUUGACGCUCAGAUGCGAAAGCGUGGGUAGCAAACAGG
This 738-nucleotide ribosomal RNA is filed under the name uncultured bacterium. Its description in RNAcentral is "bacterial SSU rRNA". It matches the Rfam family "Bacterial small subunit ribosomal RNA", at positions 28 to 776 of the family's 1533-position model. The record is from RNAcentral.